GGGCGCGUAGCUCAGUUGGGAGAGCAUCUGGUUUGCAACCAGGGGGUCGGGGGUUCGAAUCCCCCCGCGUCCACCA
Molecule: transfer RNA, 76 nt
Filed under: Acidobacteria bacterium RIFCSPHIGHO2_01_FULL_67_28
Lineage: Bacteria; Pseudomonadati; Acidobacteriota
Also listed under: 3 other names
Description: tRNA-Ala
Rfam family: tRNA
About the family: Transfer RNA (tRNA) molecules are approximately 80 nucleotides in length. Their secondary structure includes four short double-helical elements and three loops (D, anti-codon, and T loops).
Source: RNAcentral